GGCUAACGCUGGCGGCGUGUCUUAGCCAUGCAAGUCGAGCGGACUUAUGGGGUAACUUAUAAGUCAGCGGCGGACGGCGGAGUAACACGUAGCUAACCUACCCUCUGGACGGGGAUAACCUACCGAAAGGUGGGCUAAUACCCGAUGUAGUCAUCCUGUAUAGGGGUGGUGAAAGGUGGGCUUCUGUUUACAAGCUCAUGCUGGAGGAGGGGCUGCGGCCUAUCAGGUAGUUGGUAGGGUAAUAGCCUACCAAGUCGAUGACGGGUAGCCGGCCUGAGAGGGUGACCGGCCCGAGGGGCACUGAGAUACGGGUCCCACUCCUACGGGAGGCAGCAGGCUAGAAAUUUGGGCAAUGGGGGAAACCCUGACCCAGUGACGCCGCGUGCAGGAAGGAGCCCUUCGGGGUGUAAACUGCUGUCGUGUAGGGAGAAGGGUACUAAAGGUGAACAAUCUUAGUACUUGACGGUACUACAGGAGGAAGCCCAGGCUAACCUCGUG
This 498-nucleotide ribosomal RNA is filed under the name uncultured bacterium. Its description in RNAcentral is "bacterial SSU rRNA". It matches the Rfam family "Bacterial small subunit ribosomal RNA", at positions 28 to 507 of the family's 1533-position model. The record is from RNAcentral.